Molecule: long non-coding RNA, 583 nt
Filed under: Manacus vitellinus (golden-collared manakin)
Lineage: Eukaryota; Metazoa; Chordata; Aves; Passeriformes; Pipridae
Description: lncRNA (ENSMVIG00005001881.1)
Source: RNAcentral
AGGUCCCCUUAAUUUUUGGGGUCCCCCCUCCCUUUUCGGGGUGUCCCCCUCAAUCCCUUUUGGGGUCCCAAUUUUGGGGACCCUCCCACUUUUGGGGUCCCUCCCCCCAAUUUUUUGGGGUUCCCCCCCCCCAAUUUCAGGCUCUUUUCCCUCUCUGGGUCCCCCCCGAUUUUUGGGGUCCCCCCAAAUUUUUGGGAUCCCCCCAAUUUUGGGGACCCAUCAACUUUUGGGAUCCCUCAAUUUUGGGGUCCCCCCAUUUUUGGGGUCCCCCCCAAUUUUCGGGGUCUCUCCUAAUUUUUGGGGUCCCAAUUUUUGGGGUCUCUCCUAAUUUUUGGGGUCCAAAUUUUUGGGGUCCCCCCCAUUUUUUGGGGUCCCAAAUUUUGGAAUCUCUCCCAAUUUUUGGGGUCCCCAUUUUUUGAGGUCCCAUUUUUUGGGGUCCCCCCCAAUUUUUGGGGUCUCUCCUAAUUUUUGGGGUCCCAAUUUUGGGCCCCUCUCAAUUUUUUGAAGUCCCAAUUUUUGGGGUUCCCCCCCAAUUUUUGGGGUCUCCCCCCCCCGUGGCAGUGACGGGUUUUUGGGGUCUCCC